CCUACGGGAGGCAGCAGUGAGGAAUAUUGGUCAAUGGGCUUACGCCUGAACCAGCCAAGUCGCGUGAGGGAAGACUGCCCUAUGGGUUGUAAACCUCUUUUGUCAGGGAGCAACGCCGGCUACGUGUAGCCGGACUGAGGGUACCUGAAGAAAAAGCAUCGGCUACCUCCGUCCCAGCAGCCGCGUUAAUACGGAGGUUGCGAGCGUUAUCGGGAUUUAUGGGGUUAAAAGGUGGCGGAGGCGGCAUGCCAGGUCAGCGGUAAAAUCGCGGGGCUCAACCUAGAAUUGCCGUUGAAACUGGCCGUCUUGAGUGGGCGAGAGGUAUGCGGAAUGCGUGGGGUAGCGGUGAAAUGCAUAGAUAUCACGCAGAACUCCGAUUGCGAAGGCAGCAUACCGGCGCCCAACUGACGCUGAAGCACGAAAGCGUGGGUAUCGAACAGGAUUAGAUACCCGUGUAGUC
Molecule: ribosomal RNA, 460 nt
Filed under: uncultured bacterium
Lineage: Bacteria
Description: partial 16S ribosomal RNA
Rfam family: Bacterial small subunit ribosomal RNA
Source: RNAcentral